Molecule: ribosomal RNA, 253 nt
Filed under: uncultured bacterium
Lineage: Bacteria
Description: partial 16S ribosomal RNA
Rfam family: Bacterial small subunit ribosomal RNA
Source: RNAcentral
UACGAAGGGUGCAAACGUUGCUCGGAAUCAUUGGGCGUAAAGCGCACGUAGGCGGCUUCGCAAGUCGGAUGUGAAAUCCCUCGGCUCAACCGAGGACGUGCAUCCGAAACUGCGAAGCUUGAGUACUGAAGAGGAUCGCGGAAUUCCCGGUGUAGAGGUGAAAUUCGUAGAUAUUGGGAAGAACACCGGUGGCGAAGGCGGCUAUCUGGCCCGUAAUUGACGCUGAGGCGCGAAAGCGUGGGGAGCAAACAGG